CGGAGUGUAGCGCAGCUUGGUAGCGCGCGUGCUUUGGGAGCACGAUGUCGGGGGUUCAAAUCCCUUCACUCCGACCA
Molecule: transfer RNA, 77 nt
Filed under: Clostridia bacterium
Lineage: Bacteria; Bacillati; Bacillota; Clostridia
Also listed under: 1 other name
Description: tRNA-Pro
Rfam family: tRNA
About the family: Transfer RNA (tRNA) molecules are approximately 80 nucleotides in length. Their secondary structure includes four short double-helical elements and three loops (D, anti-codon, and T loops).
Source: RNAcentral